This 572-nucleotide long non-coding RNA is filed under the name Cricetulus griseus (Chinese hamster). RNAcentral describes it as "lncRNA (ENSCGRG00015029692.1)". Lineage: Eukaryota; Metazoa; Chordata; Mammalia; Rodentia; Cricetidae. The record is from RNAcentral.
AACAAGGCCACGGAAGGAAAUCAUUACAGACAGCUGGACUGUAAAAAGCAAAAAUACUCCACACACCAAACUCUACAAGCCAGUAGAAGCCGAGCGAGCGUUCUAUGAUUCAACAGGCCUGUUUCUGCCACGUGGCUCAUGCUCAUGAUACGUGGCACAUAGCCCUGGUUUGCUGCUGGCUGCUGCUCUGAGCUCUGCUAGGAAGCCACAGAGCGGGAUCUCAGGAAGGCUGGCAGGGAACAUCACAACCGCCUUCCUCACUUUGCUUCACCAACACUGAACUAUUCUGGGUAGCACCAUUCAGCCUUCCUAUAAGUCUCUCAUAGGGAGUGGCACUAUUAGAAGAUGUGACCUUGUUGGAAUAGGUGUGGUCUUGUUGGAGGAAGUGUGUCACUGUGGAGGUGGGCUUUGAGGUCUCAAAUAUGCUCAAGAUACUGCCUAGUGUCUCAGACCACUUCCUGUUGCCUGCAAGAUGCAGGACUCUCAGCUACUUCUCCAGCACCAUGUCUGCCUGUGUGCCACCAUGUCCUACCAUGAUGAUAAUGGACUGAACCUCUGAAACUGCAAGUGAG